RNAcentral lists this ribosomal RNA (497 nucleotides) under uncultured bacterium. RNAcentral describes it as "partial 16S ribosomal RNA". It matches the Rfam family "Bacterial small subunit ribosomal RNA", at positions 28 to 507 of the family's 1533-position model. The record is from RNAcentral.
GAUGAACGCUGGCGGCGUGCCUAAUACAUGCAAGUCGAGCGAACGGACGAGAAGCUUGCUUUUCUGAUGUUAGCGGCGGACGGGUGAGUAACACGUGGAUAACCUACCUAUAAGACUGGGAUAACUUCGGGAAACCGGAGCUAAUACCGGAUAAUAUUUUGAACCGCAUGGUUCAAAAGUGAAAGACGGUCUUGCUGUCACUUAUAGAUGGAUCCGCGCUGCAUUAGCUAGUUGGUAAGGUAACGGCUUACCAAGGCAACGAUGCAUAGCCGACCUGAGAGGGUGAACGGCCACACUGGAACUGAGACACGGUCCAGACUCCUACGGGAGGCAGCAGUAGGGAAUCGUCCGCAAUGGGCGAAAGCCUGACGGAGCAACGCCGCGUGAGUGAUGAAGGUCUUCGGAUCGUAAAACUCUGUUAUUAGGGAAGAACAUAUGUGUAAGUAACUGUGCACAUCUUGACGGUACCUAAUCAGAAAGCCACGGCUAACUACGUG